UACGGAGGAUCCGAGCGUUAUCCGGAUUUAUUGGGUUUAAAGGGUGCGUAGGCGGCUUUUUAAGUUCAGGGGUGAAAGACGGUGGCUCAACCAUCGCAGUGCCCUUGAUACUGAAGAGCUUGAAUAGACCUGAGGUAGGCGGAAUGUGACAAGUAGCGGUGAAAUGCAUAGAUAUGUCACAGAACACCAAUUGCGAAGGCAGCUUACUAAAGUCUUAUUGACGCUGAGGCACGAAAGCGUGGGGGAUCAAAACAGG
This 256-nucleotide ribosomal RNA is filed under the name uncultured bacterium. RNAcentral describes it as "partial 16S ribosomal RNA". It matches the Rfam family "Bacterial small subunit ribosomal RNA", at positions 524 to 776 of the family's 1533-position model. The record is from RNAcentral.